Molecule: transfer RNA, 74 nt
Filed under: Methanobacteriota archaeon
Lineage: Archaea; Methanobacteriati; Methanobacteriota
Also listed under: 2 other names
Description: tRNA-Lys
Rfam family: tRNA
About the family: Transfer RNA (tRNA) molecules are approximately 80 nucleotides in length. Their secondary structure includes four short double-helical elements and three loops (D, anti-codon, and T loops).
Source: RNAcentral
GGGCUCGUAGCUCAGUUAGGCAGAGCACCUGGCUUUUAACCAGGCGGUCAAGGGUUCAAAUCCCUUCGAGCCCG